GUUAUUACCUGGCUUCAUAAUUUGCAACACAACCAGAUGCAUUUAACGCCCUGGAUGUUAGAUUUAGCCUCCUGGUUUCCCCGAUUUUAUUCUGUUAAAAUUUCUCAUAUUUGUCGUAAAGGGAAUCAGGCGGCCGAUUGGGCAGCCUCUUACGCUUUAUCGGGUAAUUUUUGUUUUGACUCACACUCAUUGUAUCAGUAUCCUGAUUUGGCUCGU
Molecule: long non-coding RNA, 216 nt
Filed under: Elaeis guineensis (African oil palm)
Lineage: Eukaryota; Viridiplantae; Streptophyta; Magnoliopsida; Arecales; Arecaceae
Description: long non-coding RNA (EGUI_LNC028547)
Source: RNAcentral